GCUAGCGUAGCUUAACAAAAGCAUAACACUGAAGAUGUUAAGAUGGUCCCUAAUAGGUCCCGCGGGCA
RNAcentral lists this transfer RNA (68 nucleotides) under Lagocephalus lunaris (lunartail puffer). RNAcentral describes it as "tRNA-Phe". It matches the Rfam family "tRNA". Rfam says of the family: Transfer RNA (tRNA) molecules are approximately 80 nucleotides in length. Their secondary structure includes four short double-helical elements and three loops (D, anti-codon, and T loops). The record is from RNAcentral. Lineage: Eukaryota; Metazoa; Chordata; Actinopteri; Tetraodontiformes; Tetraodontidae.